Molecule: long non-coding RNA, 440 nt
Filed under: Ananas comosus (pineapple)
Lineage: Eukaryota; Viridiplantae; Streptophyta; Magnoliopsida; Poales; Bromeliaceae
Description: long non-coding RNA (ACOM_LNC037227)
Source: RNAcentral
UCACGCCCCGGGACCGAUGCCAAUUUGGCCCGACCCGAGCACGUCAAACAGACGCCGAACGGACAGAGUUUCCCCUAUCCGCCCAAGGCUCAUCACAUGUACAUUUUCAUCGAUAGAGAAAAGCACUAGCGGAAACAUACACAAACGGCUUACACGAGGGUAAGCAAUAGCCAUUAGUGAAAGAAAAAGGGAACUAAACAUUCACUUGUACUAUGAUUCAUUUUAGAUCAUAUACAUGCAUUCAUCUAGUAAUUUAUCGAAUUCUUACAUUCAUUACAUCAUUUCAUCAUCUCUUUCUUACAUCACAUUCACCUCAAAAUAAGCUUUACAAUCUUUCUUUACAUCACUAAUCAUCAAUUACAAAAGAUGAUAAAAGGGUGUCUACUAACAAAAUGGAACCCAACAUCGGUGGCCUCUGACUAAGGCGCGAUACCUUUACC